Molecule: non-coding RNA, 963 nt
Organism: Misgurnus anguillicaudatus (oriental weatherfish)
Lineage: Eukaryota; Metazoa; Chordata; Actinopteri; Cypriniformes; Cobitidae
Source: RefSeq, a predicted model, not a curated record
GGGAGGUUUAAGUUUUGUUGGCAGCAUAAUGGCAAAUGGUAGUAGUUAACAGAAUGGGAUACGGAAAACACAUGGCUUUGCGAAAUCAGGGUGAAGUAUGAAUAUGGCAAAUUAUAAGUUAUGAAGGAGCGAUCUUCUGUAAGCCAUGGUGGCGUUUACACAGACCGACGGAACGACCGACAGCAAAGGACCCAAACUGCGUGUCACCCGCCAAAACAUCACCAGAGAGGCUGAUAUGAUGUCUUUAUCUACAAAGUACAAAAAGUGAAAAGAUGGCCUGGAUAACCUCUAUGACCGCAUACUUCUUCAUCUUCUUUUAUGCUUGACACAAGGAACAUGCUACAGUAAGCGAACAGACCUUCACUACUGAAUAGAUACAGAAGGCGCCAACAUCAACGUCACUUUUGACAUCGUCAUCUCUUGAUGUUCAGCAGGAGUCCGAGCAUAACCGUGUGACCACUGGUGAAGGGAUGGGUCAGUCCAGCUCUCUGUCGGGCAGCAGAAACAGACCCAUACAGGGACUCCAUCUUUACCUGGCUGCUUAAAGACAGACUGGGCGGCAACUCUUAAACCAUCAUGAUCGCAACUGCAAAGUUAACGUUAAGUAAUGCUGGUGGGAGGACGUUGUGGCUGAGUUUCCCUCGAGUGCUAGCUGCAGAGCCAGCAGGAGCAUCCGUCCCCUUCAUCCGUGUUGAUUUUGGCGCAGGGCCGCCGGUCCCCUCCCCUGCUCGUACUGCUCCCUGAGCCCACAACCCCCAACCUCUGCCUGUUACCCCAAUGUCCCGUAUUCAUCCCCACACACAGCUGUAUCACUCAUAGUGACCCCGAUUGUCAAUGCACACAUAUGAACCAACAAACACACGUGCCGUGGGAUAUAACUAGUUCAAACAGAUAGUUGUGCAUGCAAUUGCCAUCAAAUAAAUAAAUAAAUAAAAUGGCUAAUUACAAGUUCCUUUUUGUCAC